RNAcentral lists this small RNA (4173 nucleotides) under Pan troglodytes (chimpanzee). RNAcentral describes it as "retained intron". The record is from RNAcentral. Lineage: Eukaryota; Metazoa; Chordata; Mammalia; Primates; Hominidae.
AUCAAUCAACCAUUUAUUGAGCCCAGAUGUGGUACAGCCCCAGCCGGAGAUGACCCAGAGGUGGGGUGGGGAGGAGAGAGAUGGGGAAGCCGAGUCCGGGGCCACAGGUGCAGCCAGGAGGUGCAGGUGAGCAGCGCUCAGGCCAGCCUGUCAGCCUCAGUCCUGAGCUUACUUCUGGUGAUGGAGGGAGAUAUACUGAAAAGAUCCUGCAGCCUGCAGGUGUGGCACAGCUGAUCUUGGGCCAAGGAUGCACAGCUGUGUGUGUGCCUGGCCACCGGCAAGGGCACGCGGGCUCAGAAGCACAGGUGUGCCCACACCCUGCGUGCCCGUGUGUGGCGCAGCAGCUCCCAACGCGCGCAGGACACACACACAGCACAGACAGACCCUCCCAUGGCCACACGGACAAAGAUGGCUUCACUAUAGACACCGGUGCAGACAGGAUGUGCGCUGCUUUCCAAGGCCUGUGCGCAUCAGCACCGCACGGACCCAGGCACACGUGAUCCUCAGCCAAGGUGGCCUGUCCAGUCCUGGUGCUGUUGGAUGGAAAGGCUAACCCGGGAGGUCAGGGGUCGUGGUAUAUCAGCUGGGCUCCCUCAGAUGCUCCUGCAGAAGUGGCCAGGACCUCAGGAACACACCUGCUCCUGGUCAAGACAGGAGGGGCUGCCGUGAUGCAACUUGCCCGUGCCUUUGGGUGCUGUGAGCUGGCUGCGCGCCACGUCGUUUCGAGGACGCAAGAAGGUGUUUCCAAGUCCAGUCUGUCCACCGACCUGAACCUUUACCAUUGAAAGAACAAAGGGGUGGGGCCCGAGGGACCCUUCCCUGCCGACCUGUGGUGUGUAGUCAGGGAUGCUCCUGCAGACACACAGGUGGGCUCUGACUGCCAGAUCGCAGGGGCGGUGCCGUGGUCCUCACCUGCCAUGUACUAGCGUGCUGACGCGGACACCGGCGAGAGCGAGAGUGCUCGGCCCGGCACAUCCCAGACAAUUCCUCUGUAAAUGGUGCAGCAGCCAGAGGCCCCAGCACCUUGAGGUUAAAGAGAAGGAAUAGAGUUCUCCAGAGCCCCAAGGAGCGGGAGGUUCUGUCCCAAUGGAUGGGCUCAGCCAAUUUCACCCUCUCCUCCCCCUGCCAACACUGCGGCCUGCAGCCUGGACCUGGCCCGGGUUGUGGAGGGGACCAGGGGAUGCAGCUGCCACCUGCUGGGCGGACGUGGGCCUAGGUGGUCCUCAGCCCUCAUGACAGGAGCCCCCGAAGCACUGUUGGGGCACCCUCUCUGACAUUGGGUGGGAGACUCUGGGAGCCGAGUGCAGAGCCAGGGCCCAGCACGCAGGCCUUGGGCUCCAGUCCGUGUGCCCCACAUCUGGAAUGUGCCAGCAGGGCCCGGUGCGAGAGAAGAGCGGAUCCCUACAUGAGUGAGGGUGGAGGGAUGGUGCCUCUGCCACGGCCAUGGUGCCGCCGUCCAUGUCAGCUCACUCUCAGCACAGAUGCUGUGUGAUGGCCUCAGGCCACGCCGCUUGUUCUGAGGCCCCUAGCAGGUCGGGCUUGUGCUGGCUGCACAUUGACUGGCUGGUGAGCUUGGCGGGUCUGUGGGCACGGAGAGACCAGAACGUGCGUAACAGGCCCGAUGAGGGUGCCAGGCUGCGGCAAACCCCGAGCUUUAGAGGAGAGGGGCAUCAGCCGGGGGCCCUGCACAGGCAGCCUCAGGUGCAAGGAGCUGGAGCCCAGGCCACCUGGGGAGGGGCGGGGUGCCGUGGCUGGAAGUUGCUGUUCUCAGACCUGGUUCUGAGACCCUCUCCAACUGCAUGGGGGUGGUCCAGGCUGGACCCCAGAUGUGACGGUGUAUGUGCUGGGAUGGGAGCCCCCCUGAGAGCAGGGCUUUUGUUAAUUCACCGGCAAUCCCACAUGUCUGGCACGAGAUAGGUGCUCAGUCAGUGAAAACCACACACGGGAUCUUCCAUUGUGUCCAGGGGAGGGUGGGCCCUGCUCGCAGCCAGACUCCUAGCCCUGGGCAGCCCUGCUGCCUGCCUGCUCCUUCCACUCCUACCACCUGCCCAGGUGGGACUCUGCCUGCCUUCCUGUCCCCAGUGCUCUGUAGGAGUUUGACCACAGGUAUCCUCUUCAUCAGAGAGAGGAAAGCUCACGAUCUGGAAGAACUCCAGGCCUGGCCCAGCGAAGACGUCCUUAUCUUCAGCAGACAUUGCCCAGUGCAAGGGGAGGUCAGUCUCAGGAGACAGUCUCCUGGACAGUGGCGUGGCAUCUGUCCUAAGGCCUUGCCUGCAGCACAGGGUGCCACAGAGGUCCCCUGUGACACAGCCUCAUGGCUGGGGCAGGCAGGGGUCGCACCUGCUCCUGCAUGAAGAGGCAGAUAAAGACCCACAGCGUGGUCUCUGGGGUCCCACAUCCCAGGUAGAGAAUGACCCAGGUCGCUGGCGUCUGUGCCAUCUCUGCUCCACUGACCACUCAUGGGGGUCCUGGAGAUCCUGACACCGGUGGCCGGGGAGCAGCAGCCCAGGCACAGGCCCCAGUGCACACGCAGAUCCCACCGUGUCUGCACAAGGCCUUGCCCCAACGAGGCCUGGGUGCCGUGUGAGGGCCGGGACGCUAACACAGCCGAGGGUACCCACGCGUGAGCUGCUCUGGGGUCCCUCCCCAUGUUUCUUCCGGUAAUGAAACUUGUACCCAAAUGGGAUAUGCAGGGUUGCACUGUGCAGUCGCUGUGUGUUUAAGGGUCUCAUCCCCGUGUGCGCCAGCAGGACCACAGCUGUGACCGGCUGCUCCAGAAGAAGUGGGUGGGUUGAGACCCCACCGGCAGCGUCACUGGGGGCAGCAGGCCCUCUGUCAGCACUGACCUCUGUAUCAUGUCAGGGAUUUUUAGGGCGGCAAGCUCAGGUGGACAGGCAGUUUUAUUCUGUUUCCCAUGUCAAGUCCAGCCCCAGACUGACUUUCUGAGGUCACAGACGGAGCCUCACCCCAUCCAAGGCGGUGUCCUAGACUCCCACUGUGCUCCCCAGAGGGCAGGGUGAGUGCGUGGCAUCCUUUUGGCGGGCGUGGGUGCCUCUGUGGACCUGGCGUGAGGCUUCUCUGUUUCUGAGUCUCCUAUGGACCAUCUGUCUUCUGUGUGGCUGCUGAGGAAUCACACUGGGGUGGCCGUGCAGGUGGCUGAAUGAGAACAGGACCCCCAUGCUGCACAGCCCUGCUUAACCCGGGGGUGGCCCCAGAAGCAGGUGGGCGAGGCUGGGCAGCAGGGAUUGGCUGAAAUCAUAUGCAGAGCCCAAGAGGCAGGGGAAAGGCGGCAAUUUCAGGGUCCCUUUGUUCGCCAGGUACCUGGGGCCCAGCCCGGGCGGCAGGAGGGACUCAGCCCCUUGCCCAGGCAGGAAGGGUCCCAAGCAGAGGCCCCUCCCUCAGGCACUCCCCAGCCCACACCUGCAGCACUGGGACCAAGACUAAUAAAACACCCGCCUCACGGAAGACAGCUUUAUCUUGUUGAUCAGAAGUCUGCCAGCCCAAUUUAUGAUGGAACAUAAGAUCUCUAAAUCUGAAUUUACGCUCUAUAGCGUAACGAGAGGUCAAUAAGAUUAAACGGGGGCUCAGGAGAGGACCAGCGUCAGGCUCACUGCGAGGUGCUGCACAGAAAACCCACAGCCAGAGCCCCUGGGCCCAGCCCAGGCAAGACCAGAAAAGGAGGGGGCAGGUGGGAGACCAGCCUGGGGCUCCUGGGAAGCCCACGGGAUGGAGGCGGGAGAGCCAGGAGGCCUGGGGCAACCCUGGGACGGUUCCUGGAUCGAAGAGAGCAGGGGGGUGAUGAGGGUUCCCUCAGGGCUGGGGAGCCUUCUCCUGGUCUGAGACCCACCCCCCUUCAGCUCCCAAGCCUUGGGUGCCCCUGGCUCUGAGGACAGUUGGGAAUCUUCCCUGAGGCAGGUUCAAGGACAGAGCUGUGACCCUGGCCCAGGGCUGCUUUGGGUGCCCAUGAACUCAGCUUCUGGCUCAGAGCAGUUCCCUGCACCCGUUCCUGAGCCCUCUGUCCUCUGGAACCCGUGGGCAGGGUGAGGGACGGGUGUUCCAUCUGGGUGGGGGCCUGGGCGCCCAGCCAGCACAAGGCUGGCUUGCUGAGCUUAGGGCAGACCCCGACUUCAGAAUUUAUACAAAUAAAUGCAAUGAAAAGUGCUGGCAGCCUGA